This 534-nucleotide ribosomal RNA is filed under the name Bacillus sp. MAN8. RNAcentral describes it as "bacterial SSU rRNA". It matches the Rfam family "Bacterial small subunit ribosomal RNA", at positions 379 to 905 of the family's 1533-position model. Lineage: Bacteria; Bacillati; Bacillota; Bacilli; Caryophanales; Bacillaceae. The record is from RNAcentral.
GAGUCUGACGGAGCACGCCGCGUGAGUGAUGAAGGCUUUCGGGUCGCUAAAACUCUGUGUUGGGGAAGAACAAGUACAAGAGUAACUGCUUGUACCUUGACGGUACCUAACCAGAAAGCCACGGCUAACUACGUGCCAGCAGCCGCGGUAAUACGUAGGUGGCAAGCGUUAUCCGGAAUUAUUGGGCGUAAAGCGCGCGCAGGCGGUUUCUUAAGUCUGAUGUGAAAGCCCACGGCUCAACCGUGGAGGGUCAUUGGAAACUGGGGAACUUGAGUGCAGAAGAGAAAAGCGGAAUUCCACGUGCAGCGGUGAAAUGCGUAGAGAUGUGGAGGAACACCAGUGGCGAAGGCGGCUUUUUGGUCUGUAACUGACGCUGAGGCGCGAAAGCGUGGGGAGCAAACAGGAUUAGAUACCCUGGUAGUCCACGCCGUAAACGAUGAGUGCUAAGUGUUAGAGGGUUUCCGCCCUUUAGUGCUGCAGCUAACGCUUGAAGCACUCCGCCUGGGGAGUACGGUCGCAAGACUGAAACUCAAA